Lagopus leucura (white-tailed ptarmigan) is the source of this 167-nucleotide long non-coding RNA. RefSeq lists it as uncharacterized. The transcript has 3 exons. The record is from RefSeq and is a predicted model, not a curated record. Lineage: Eukaryota; Metazoa; Chordata; Aves; Galliformes; Phasianidae.
GAGCUGUCAAAUGCUGUCAGAAUGAGAAACCACCAGUUUCAGUGGUAAAGCAAGAGACCAAUUUGAGAACAAAUAGCUUGGAAAACUAAUGUGAAACCACUGCAUUAGCAAAAAACAGUUGCAACCCUUGCUGACAAGCUGUGUUCCAGUGUAUUUUUGGUCAGUGG